GAACAAGGGACUCCAAAAAGCAAUGUUGCCUUAGCAACUGCGGUCUUGGUUUCUGGAGAGAUUAGAACUAUUGUUUUCUAACAUUGACUUUAAGAAAUAUCUCUGGGCAUUGGAAAAAAAAUUGGUGAAAUCAUAUUCUACAUGAAGCCAGUUAUGUUUUUGUUUUGCAGGUGAGCCUAAAUGAUUACUUCAUAGCACAUGUGCUCCAGGCUACAGAGUAGGUUGCUUUUUUUUUUUUCUUUCUGUUGGAGCUUCAUAACUUAUUCAAGGGUUGAAUGGAUUCUGUUUAUUAAAAGUAUAGUAUAAUGAUGUUGUUUUUUUUCUUCCCCUUGCAAGGAGUCCCAAGAUGUAUUUUGUUUAGAAGCAUUCAGCUCACAACCUCAGCAUAUUUGUCAAGAAUUAUAGGGAACUUUUCCCUGUUCCAAAGCUUACUGCUGCCUGAGUGUGUGUGAGGCUGAGGGGAGCUUCCCUCCGAGAGGCCUUUUUGUGAAUGGAAAACUUCAUCCUGCAUAACUGUAAAGUGUUUUUCCUUAAUUUGCCAUCAUGUUUGGGUGUAUUGCCAGUCCACAUGGCGUGCUAUGGAGAAUGA
This 589-nucleotide long non-coding RNA is filed under the name Anas platyrhynchos platyrhynchos (common mallard). RNAcentral's name for it is "lncRNA (ENSAPLG00000024435.1)". Lineage: Eukaryota; Metazoa; Chordata; Aves; Anseriformes; Anatidae. The record is from RNAcentral.